CUCCAGACUCCUACGGGAGGCAGUAGUGAGGAAUAUUGGUCAAUGGCCGAGAGGCUGAACCAGCCAAGUCGCGUGAGGGAAGACGGCCCUACGGGUUGUAAACCUCUUUUGUCGGGGAGCAAAGCGAACCACGUGUGGUUCAUUGAGAGUACCCGAAGAAAAAGCAUCGGCUAACUCCGUGCCAGCAGCCGCGGUAAUACGUAGGUGGCGAGCGUUGUCCGGAUUUACUGGGUGUAAAGGGCGCGUAGGCGGAUUUGCAAGUCAGAUGUGAAAUACCGGGGCUUAACUCCGGAACUGCAUUUGAAACUGUAGACCUUGAGUGCCGGAGAGGAAAGCGGAAUUCCUAGUGUAGCGGUGAAAUGCGUAGAUAUUAGGAGGAACACCAGUGGCGAAGGCGGCUUUCUGGACGGUAACUGACGCUGAGGCGCGAAAGUGUGGGUAGCAAACAGGAUUAGAUACCCUUGUAC
RNAcentral lists this ribosomal RNA (467 nucleotides) under uncultured bacterium. RNAcentral describes it as "bacterial SSU rRNA". It matches the Rfam family "Bacterial small subunit ribosomal RNA", at positions 329 to 793 of the family's 1533-position model. The record is from RNAcentral.